GGGGAUUAGCCCUUAAGCUUCAUUGAUUUUAGCGGAACGCUCUGGAAAGUGCGGCCAUAGUGGGUGAUAGCCCCGUACGCGAAAGGAUCUUUGAAGUGAAAUCGAGUAGGACGGAGCACGAGAAACUUUGUCUGAACAUGGGGGGACCAUCCUCCAAGGCUAAAUACUACUGACUGACCGAUAGUGAACCAGUACCGUGAGGGAAAGGCGAAAAGAACCCCGGAGAGGGGAGUGAAAUAGAACCUGAAACCGUAUGCGUACAAGCAGUGGGAGCCUACUUGUUAGGUGACUGCGUACCUUUUGUAUAAUGGGUCAGCGACUUAUAUUCAGUGGCAAGCUUAACCGUAUAGGGUAGGCGUAGCGAAAGCGAGUCUUAAUAGGGCGUUUAGUCGCUGGGUAUAGACCCGAAACCGGGCGAUCUAUCCAUGAGCAGGUUGAAGGUUAGGUAACACUGACUGGAGGACCGAACCCACUCCCGUUGAAAAGGUAGGGGAUGACUUGUGGAUCGGAGUGAAAGGCUAAUCAAGCUCGGAGAUAGCUGGUUCUCCUCGAAAGCUAUUUAGGUAGCGCCUCAUGUAUCACUCUGGGGGGUAGAGCACUGUUUCGGCUAGGGGGUCAUCCCGACUUACCAAACCGAUGCAAACUCCGAAUACCCAGAAGUGCCGAGCAUGGGAGACACACGGCGGGUGCUAACGUCCGUCGUGAAAAGGGAAACAACCCAGACCGCCAGCUAAGGUCCCAAAGUUGUGGUUAAGUGGUAAACGAUGUGGGAAGGCUUAGACAGCUAGGAGGUUGGCUUAGAAGCAGCCACCCUUUAAAGAAAGCGUAAUAGCUCACUAGUCGAGUCGGCCUGCGCGGAAGAUGUAACGGGGCUCAAACCACACACCGAAGCUGCGGGUGUCACGUAAGUGACGCGGUAGAGGAGCGUUCUGUAAGCCUGUGAAGGUGAGUUGAGAAGCUUGCUGGAGGUAUCAGAAGUGCGAAUGCUGACAUGAGUAACGACAAUGGGUGUGAAAAACACCCACGCCGAAAGACCAAGGGUUCCUGCGCAACGUUAAUCGACGCAGGGUUAGUCGGUUCCUAAGGCGAGGCUGAAAAGCGUAGUCGAUGGGAAACAGGUUAAUAUUCCUGUACUUCUGGUUACUGCGAUGGAGGGACGGAGAAGGCUAGGCCAGCUUGGCGUUGGUUGUCCAAGUUUAAGGUGGUAGGCUGAAAUCUUAGGUAAAUCCGGGGUUUCAAGGCCGAGAGCUGAUGACGAGUCGUCUUUUAGAUGACGAAGUGGUUGAUGCCAUGCUUCCAAGAAAAGCUUCUAAGCUUCAGGUAACCAGGAACCGUACCCCAAACCGACACAGGUGGUCGGGUAGAGAAUACCAAGGCGCUUGAGAGAACUCGGGUGAAGGAACUAGGCAAAAUGGCACCGUAACUUCGGGAGAAGGUGCGCCGGCUAGGGUGAAGGAUUUACUCCGUAAGCUCUGGCUGGUCGAAGAUACCAGGCCGCUGCGACUGUUUAUUAAAAACACAGCACUCUGCAAACACGAAAGUGGACGUAUAGGGUGUGACGCCUGCCCGGUGCCGGAAGGUUAAUUGAUGGGGUUAGCGCAAGCGAAGCUCUUGAUCGAAGCCCCGGUAAACGGCGGCCGUAACUAUAACGGUCCUAAGGUAGCGAAAUUCCUUGUCGGGUAAGUUCCGACCUGCACGAAUGGCGUAACGAUGGCGGCGCUGUCUCCACCCGAGACUCAGUGAAAUUGAAAUCGCUGUGAAGAUGCAGUGUAUCCGCGGCUAGACGGAAAGACCCCGUGAACCUUUACUGUAGCUUUGCACUGGACUUUGAGCCUGCUUGUGUAGGAUAGGUGGGAGGCUUUGAAGCGUGGACGCCAGUUCGCGUGGAGCCAUCCUUGAAAUACCACCCUGGCAUGCUUGAGGUUCUAACUCUGGUCCGUAAUCCGGAUCGAGGACAGUGUAUGGUGGGCAGUUUGACUGGGGCGGUCUCCUCCUAAAGAGUAACGGAGGAGUACGAAGGUGCGCUCAGACCGGUCGGAAAUCGGUCGUAGAGUAUAAAGGCAAAAGCGCGCUUGACUGCGAGACAGACACGUCGAGCAGGUACGAAAGUAGGUCUUAGUGAUCCGGUGGUUCUGUAUGGAAGGGCCAUCGCUCAACGGAUAAAAGGUACUCCGGGGAUAACAGGCUGAUACCGCCCAAGAGUUCAUAUCGACGGCGGUGUUUGGCACCUCGAUGUCGGCUCAUCACAUCCUGGGGCUGAAGCCGGUCCCAAGGGUAUGGCUGUUCGCCAUUUAAAGUGGUACGCGAGCUGGGUUUAGAACGUCGUGAGACAGUUCGGUCCCUAUCUGCCGUGGACGUUUGAGAUUUGAGAGGGGCUGCUCCUAGUACGAGAGGACCGGAGUGGACGAACCUCUGGUGUUCCGGUUGUCACGCCAGUGGCAUUGCCGGGUAGCUAUGUUCGGAAAAGAUAACCGCUGAAAGCAUCUAAGCGGGAAACUUGCCUCAAGAUGAGAUCUCACUGGGAACUUGAUUCCCCUGAAGGGCCGUCGAAGACUACGACGUUGAUAGGCUGGGUGUGUAAGCGUUGUGAGGCGUUGAGCUAACCAGUACUAAUUGCCCGUGAGGCUUGACCAU
RNAcentral lists this ribosomal RNA (2634 nucleotides) under Pseudomonas aeruginosa. RNAcentral describes it as "partial 23S ribosomal RNA". It matches the Rfam family "Bacterial large subunit ribosomal RNA", at positions 294 to 2925 of the family's 2925-position model. The record is from RNAcentral. Lineage: Bacteria; Pseudomonadati; Pseudomonadota; Gammaproteobacteria; Pseudomonadales; Pseudomonadaceae.